This 44283-nucleotide long non-coding RNA is filed under the name Triticum aestivum (bread wheat). RNAcentral describes it as "long non-coding RNA (TAES_LNC013605)". The record is from RNAcentral. Lineage: Eukaryota; Viridiplantae; Streptophyta; Magnoliopsida; Poales; Poaceae.
AUGCCGAUGGCGAGGAGAUCUUCGGGGCGCGGCGGCGGUGGGCCGGGGGUGGAGGUCACGAUGGUGAUGGAGCUAGCGGUGGCGGAAGACAACGUAAUCAUCAUCAACCGCCCCGACCAAGCUGGCCUCGGCUGCAACCUCUACAUCAACAUCUCGAGUUCGACCUUCGCAUCUCCCGCACCGGUGAUCCCCUCCACAUCCUUUCCGGAAGUUACAUAAGUUACUGCAUUCCCGCUGCACCAUUCUCGCGUGAGGUCUAUGAAGUUACUGUAUGCACGCUGUUAAUCAGUAGCAGCGGUUCAAUCAUAAGCAUAAACAAAAACUGGUAAGAUGUUGUAACCUGUUCUACAGGAAUCUUGUCCUGUUGCUAAUGGACUCCUCCGGCUCUGGCUGCUGGUCCAGUUGCCUUCGACAGCUCUCCCGCACCUUGGUUCGCUUUCGCCCGGACAACCGACCCGGCUCUCCUUUCGGACACAGAGGAACAACCUGGUAGCGAAUAUUAUUAGGAGUCGUUUUGCUUCAAGACCUGAACAGACUAGCAAUUGCUAGGGCUUCAAUCUGAUGUGUUGUACCACACAGUAUUCCUCUACCUGUGUAUUCCCACGAAUCCUAUUUCUUCCAGACAUAUGUGCCUUUCAGGAUUCGCUUCUACUAUUUUUGUUAUGUUUAGCCUUCUGCCAUCUAAUGCAUGGCGUGUUAAUCCUUCUUUAUAUCUUGCAGCAGUCAAUAAUGCAUGUUACAUCGGUUGGUUUUUUUAGUUACAUUUAUGCGGAAACUAUCUGAUUGAGUUUAGCUGAUGGCUACAAGAUGUGGGAUUAUUUCUGAUAGUAGGGUGCUUCAAUAUAUGCAUCUUACAAUUUGUUGCAAUGCUAAUGGCUACAUGACGUGCCAUUAUUUAUGUAUCUCUUUGUUCCAACUGUUCCAGUGAAAUGUGGUGAUGGAUUAAAUAUAGUACGGUACAAUAGCUUGGCAUGGAACAAUGAACAUGUAGCUUUUUCAGUCCGAGACAACUACUCUCUUUGGUGAUUUAGAGUUAUAAAUUUUAUAAAUUUCUCUAUUGUUCCUAUGAAGAGUAGAUGGUGACGCUGUUCCAAACAAUAAAAUAAAAGAAGCAGGCAUUAGCUUUUAUUCUACCCAGGUUAAAUUUCGAACCAGGAUUGACUUUAUCCUACAUUAACAAUUCCUCUCUGUUUUAGUUAGUGCAAUUCCAAGUUAGUUAUUCCAGGAAUAUCUGCAUGGAUUAUACUCUAUACCAUCUCAGAAUCUUUAUUCAUAAGAAAUAGUGUGAAGCUAGCAACUUAGGCUAAGGUGUGAAAAGAUUGUCUAAUUUACCAACUCUACUGGUGCUGGAUCACGCUUUUAAAAAAUGGUACAAUAUUAUUGCAUUUGUACUUCAAACUCAAAAUUUUACACAGGCAAAGCACUACGUUCUUGGCAAGAGAUUACCCUUUUAACUCUUCCUCUAUUACUCGAUAUAUGUUCAUGUAUUUAUCUUAGAAUUCUUCAGAAAUAUAAACAAGUGUACUCACAGCAACGUGCGGGGAAUCAUCUAGUAAAAUAAAAUGACGCUCCAAGCAAAACACAUAUAAUGUGAUGAAUGAAAACAUAGCUCCAAGUGAGGUUGCCGAUAAUGUUGGAGAUGAAAGGGGGGAUGCCUUCCGGGGCAUCCCCAAGCUUAGUUGCUUGGAUCUUCCUUGAAUAUUACCUUGGGGUGCCUUGGGAAUCCCCAAGCUUAGGGCUUGUCACUCCUUAUUCUCCUCAUAUCGACAUCUCACCCAAAACUUGAAAACUUCAAUCACACAAAACUUAACGGAACUUUGUGAGAUAGGUUAGUAUGAUAAAGAGCAAACCAUUUCACUUUGGUACUAUCAAGGACAAGAUUCAUAAUUUUUUCCACACAAUUCCUACUGUAGCAUAUCAUUUCCACAAUUUAUAUUGAGCAAUAUAAGCCAUAGAAACUAGAAAACAAGCAAACUAUGCAUUGAAAACAGAAUCUGUCAAAAACAGAACAGUCUGUAGUAAUCUGUACUCAAACCAUACUUCUGAUACUCCAAAAAUUAUGAAAAAAUUAGAACCACGUGAGAAAUUUGUACAUUAAACUUAUUCAAAAAUAAUCAACUCAAAAGAACUCUUAUGUUAAAAAUAAUAAUUAUUUUCGUGAGCGCAAAAGUUUCUGUUUUUCAGCAAGAUCAAAUCUACUACCACCCAACAUGAUCCCAAAGGCUUUACUUGGCACUUUAUUGAAACAAAAGCAAUAAAACAUGAUCAAUACAGUAGCAUAAUCAUGUGAACACACAAAAACAGUAGGUAAAAGUGUUGGGUUGUCUCCCAACAAGUGCUUUUCUUUAAUGCCUUAUAGCUAGGCAUGAUGAUUUCAAUGAUGCUCGCAUAAAAGAUAAGAAUUAAAACAUAAAGAGAGCAUCAUGAAGCAUAUGACUAGCACCUUUAAGUCUAACCCACUUCCUAUGCAUAGGGAUUUUGUGAGCAAAAAACUUAUGGGUACAAGAAUCAACUAGCAGAGGAAGGCAAAACAAGCAUACCUUCAAAACUUUCAACACAUAGAGAAGAAACUUGAUAUUAUUGCAAUAUGUAAAAGCAUAUGCCCCUCCCUCAUAAUAAUUUUCAGUAGCAUCAUGAAGAAAUUCAACAAUAUAACCAUCACAUAAAGCAUUCUUUUCAUGACACAAAAGCAUAGAAAAUUUAUUACUCUCCACAUAAGCAAAUUUAUUCUCAUCAAUAAUUGUGGGAGCAAACUCAACAAAAUAACUCUCAUGUGAUUGGAAAUUAAAAUCAUGAUGACAAGUUUCAUGUUUAUAAUUAUUCAAUAUAUUAUACAUGUCAUCACCAUAAUCAUCAUAUAUAGGAACUUUGUUGUCAUAAUCAAUUGCAACCUCCUCCAAAAUAGUGGAUUCAUCAUUAAAUAAAGUCACGACCUCUCCAAAUCCACUUUCAUCAAUAUAAUCAUCAUAAAUAGGAGGCAUGCAAUCAUUAUAACAAAUUUUCACAUCAAAUAUCGGGGGACUAUAAAUUUCAUCUUCAUCAAACAUAGCAUCCCCAAGCUUAUGGCAUUGCAUAUCAUUAGCAUCAUGGAUAUUCAAAGAAUUCAUACUAACAACAUUGCAAUCAUGCUCAUCAUUCAAAUAUUUUGUGCCAAACAUUUUAUUGACUUCUUCUUCUAACAAUUGAGCACAAUUUUCCGAACCGUCAUUUUCAAGAAAGAUAUUAUAAAGAUGAUCAAUAAUAUGAUGCAACCUCAGUUCCAUUUUUUAUGUAGUUUUCUUUUAUAAACCAAACUAGUGAUAAAACAAGAAACUAAAAGAUUCAAUUGCAAGAUCUAAAGAUAUACCUUCAUGCACUCACCUCCCCGGCAACGGCGCCAGAAAAGAGCUUGAUGUCUACUAUGCAACUUUAUUCUUGUAGACACGUGUUGGGCCUCUAAGCGUAGAGUUUUGUAGGACCAUAGCAAUUUUCCCUCAAGUGGAUGACCUAAAGUUUAUCAAUCCGUGAGAGGUGUAUAAUGAAGAUGGUCUCUCUCAAACGACCCUGCAACCAAAUACAAGAAAUCUCUUGUGUCCCCAACACACCCAAUACAAUGGCAAAUUGCAUAGGUGCACUAGUUCGGCGAAGAGAUGGUGAUAAAAGUGUAAUAUGGAUGGUUGAAAUAUAUUUUUAUAAUCUAAAUAAAUAAAAACAGCAAAGUAGCAAAUAGUAAACGGGCACAAAAACGGUAUUGCAAUGCUUAAAAACAAGGCCUAGGGUCCAUACUUUCACUAGUGCAAUCUCUCAAUAGUGCUAGUAUAAUUGGAUCAUAUAACCAUCCCUCAACGUGCAACGAAGAAUCACUCCAAAGUUCCUAUCUAGCGGAGAACAUAAGACGGAAUUGUUUGUAGGGUACGAAACCACCUCAAAGCUAUUCUUUCCGAUCAAUCUAUCCUAGAGUUCGUACUAAAAUAACACGAAGCUAUUCUUUCUGAUCGAUCUAACCAAGAGUUCAUACUAAAAUAACACCAAAGAAAAUUUAGAUUCAUAAUAUUCAAUCCAACACAAAGAAUUUCAAAGAGCUCCCCAGGAUUUCACCGGAGAAACAAAUACAAGAACGUGCAUCAACCCCUAUGCAUAGAUUACCCCAAUGUCACCUCGGGAAUUCGCGAGUUGAGUGCCAAAACAUAUAUCAAGUGAAUCAAUACGAUACCCCAUUGUCACCACGAGUAUUCAAUUGCAAGACAUAUAACAAGUGUUCUCAAAUCCAUAAAAGUAUUCAAUCCGAUAACAACGAAAUCUCAAAGGGAAAAACUCAAUUCAUCACAACAAGAUAGAGAGGGGAAAACACCAUAUGAUCCGACUAUAUUAACAAAGCACGCGAUACAUCAAAAUCGUGACAUCUCAAGAACACGAGAGAGAGAGAGAGAGAGAGAGAGAUUAAACACAUAGCUACUGGUACAAACCCUCAGCCCCGAGGGUGGACUACUCCCUCCUCAUCAUGGUGGUCGCCGGGAUGAUGAAGAUGGCCACCGGAGAGGGUCUAGAUUAGUUUUCGGUGGCUACAGAGCCUUGCGGCGGUGGAACUUCUGAUGUAGGUUAACCCCGAGGGUUUUCAGAAUAUUUGUGAAUUUAUAGGGUAAAGAGGAGGUGCGGGAGGCCACCGAGGUGGGCACAACCCAGCUGGGCGCGCCUGGGCGCCUGGCCCCCCAGGUGCGCCCUGGUGGGUUGUGCCCCCCUCGGGGCACCCCUAGGUGCUUCUCUGGCCCAUCCUGGGUGUUUUGGUCCAUAAAAAAUCUCCAAAAAGUUUUGCGGUGUUUGGACUCCGUUUGAUAUUAAUUUCCUGCGAUGUAAAAAACAAGCAAAAAACAGCAACUGCCACUGGGCAUUGGGUCAAUAGGUUAGUCCCAAAAAAUGGUAUAAAGUUGCUAUAAAAUGACUGUAAAACAUCCAAGAAUGAUAAUGUAACGGCAUGAAUACUUCAUAAAUUAGAGAUACGUUGGGGACAUAUCAGGUAUUUGUUGGCCAUGAAUGGAUUCCUCCUAGUUCAUGUUAGGGUCGAUCACCGUCACAUGUCGCUUAACAAAUGCUCGAGCUCAUGCGUUGUCAGGAUUCCCUCCCACAUGCUCGGAUUGCUUGGGUUCGACCUACAUCAUACCCUGCGUAUCUCGUCCUUAACUACCUUGCCUUCAUGAUUGUUGUCUGUAUCGAGAGGUAGGCACCACAUCUAAAUUGUACAUUAUUCUAUAUUGAAAACACACAUCACCCCUUCCCAGCGUACAUCAUUUUGGGCCGCAUGCAAGAGGUGCUGGUUUUGUGGUCCCUCUCGUGCGAUUUUUAUGAUGGUUCAAUCUAUUGGCCCAAGCGGUUUAUCGACAACAACAGCUGUCAUUUGACCAAACGAUAGAUUCAUUGGUCCGUCUUAUGGUAGGUCAUGGCGACAUGCAUGUAUGACCAAAGUAUCGAUCAUUACGUGCAUCCGCCCCACUGACACGAAGUGGGAGGUGGUGGGCCAAGCAUCCUAGCUAGGUACGACAUUAUGUCAUUAUAUAUAUAUAUAUGUAUAUAUAUACAGCCGGUCUAUUCUGCUAAUAUUAGCAGAAUAGUUAUUUUGAUAACACUUCCGCACUGCACUUUCAGUAGCAAGGGUACUGCAAUACAGAGACUAGUGAACUUCUCGUCGCAAAAAACUGCACGCGGUGUUUUCUUGGUACUAUUUUCGCUCCAGUUUUUAAAUGGUUUGUCGAGGCGUGUAAUAUACCGUUGAAAAGCUAUGGAUUAGGCGCAACUUUUCCAUGUUGAAAGUUUUUCAUAAUUCAUCAUGGUUUAAGAGCAGUUUCGAAAACAGUGCGGCGCACAAUGAGUGGCAGCGAGCGUUUUUUCACGGUUUUUUCCAAACCCCUAGUCAGAAUGAAGCAAAUUAUACACCGUUGGAAAGAUAUCAUCGAGGCGCAUCUUUUUCAUAUCUAUUAUUUUCUCUAAUUCGUUUCUGUUUAAGAGCAGUUUCAAAGUUACUAAAUCGCGGAAUUCUGUUUUUCAACUUUUUUCAAUUUUUUUGUACAGUUUUCGCUCCAGUUUUUUAACCGUUUGUCGGAACGGGGCACGUAAUAUACCAUUGAAAAUCUAUGGACGAGGUGCAACUUUUAUAUGUUGAAUUUGUUUUUGAGAUUCCUUACGGUUGUAAGUUAAUUUUUGAGAUUCCUUACGACGAGUGGCAGCGGCCGUUUUUCGCGAAAUUUUUACAAACCGCUGGUCGGAAUAAUUCAAACUAUACACCGUUGGAAAGAUAUCAACAAGGUGCAACUUUUUCAUGUAGAACACUCUCUCUGAUUCCUUACGGUUUAAGAGCGGUGUUAAAAAAACCGAAACGUGGACACUAUUUUUCACGACACCCAAAUCUUCGUGUGUACUUCAUGAGACAGAAGAACGCACUUCGUCAGACUAAAAACCGCACAGCAUCAGACGGGCUACCGAACUUCAUUGUUUUUUUUGUUAGACGUAAAUUUUCUCAGGCGAGGAAAGUGGAGUGUGCUUCACAUCGGGCAUAAGUGAACCGCAACACUGUCGAGAGCUAAGCCGCAUGAGAUUACAAAGUGAGCUUCACAUCGGAUCGGGCGUAAGUGAAUCGCAACAUCGAGAGGUGAGAUGCAUGAUAUUACAAAGUGAGCUUCACCUCGGGCAUAAGUGGACCGCAACACUAUCGAGAGGUGAGCUGCAUGAGAUUACAAAGUGAGCUUCACCUCGGGCGUAAGUGGACCGCAAAACUAUCGAGAGGUGAGCCACAUGACAUUACAAAGUGAGCUUCACCUCGGGCGUAAGUGGACCGCAAAACUAUCGAGAGGUGAGCCACAUGACAUUACAAAGUGAGCUUCAAAAUUUUAAAUACCAGACACUUUUUUGUUUACCAAGUGAACCACAUAGGAUUUUACACUGAAUCGCAUCUAAGCAUCAUUUUCUAUAACAAACUUGGCCUUGCAAUUAUGUUACACACAUAAUUCAUAUAAAAUUAAGUGAGGAUAGCACCACAAGGCCUUCAACCGGACUCUGAAACCGAAACUGCAUUGCACUGCUGCGGUACUGCACUACAUUGCACUGCGGUACUGCACUGAACACACAAACUCUGAACUUGUUGGGUUGGAUGGAUGUGCUGCUGCAAAAAUAAUCAAAAACUGCACUCAAACUGCAUGUUGUGGUCCGGACGCGAUGUGGACUCGCCAGAGAGAGUUUGCUCGGCAGAGGUGAGCUGCACGGGGGCGGCAAGCGAGCGGCACGGGGAGAGGCAACCGAGCUGCACAGAGGCUGGCAAUGCGGUGGGUCACCGGGGAACUGCACGGCUACAACGCGCGUACUGCACAGCCGCGACGCGUGGACUUCCCGGGAUCCAGCAACUGCAUAGGCGUGCCUCCGCCGACGAGGAUCCCGCAGGAACGGUUGGACGCCCGUGGGAGCAUUCCCUCAUCCCUUUGCCCACCCCGCGCCCGUGACAUGCAUCCCGCGGGAACGGAUCAGGUGCCAUCCAACGCUCCUCCUAUGGCAUCCUGUUCGUCGCCGGUGUGCCUGGGAGCCACGGCCUCUGCCAUUGACCUCGCCGUCGAUGGAGCACCUCCUCCCCAUCCUCCGAUCGGAAGGGCGCAGGGCAGGGGGCGGUCUCGGCGGCACGGGACAGGGGCACCCGCGCGGAUCUUGCCAGAUUUUGCGCCGAGCUGCACAAGCGGGGGUGGGGUGCGGGGGCCUUCUGCGCUGAGGGGCCGGCGGCGGCCGAAUCCAGUGGCUGAGGCCGCGCCGGGGGCCGAGGGCGGACGGAUCCCGCCAUGCCCGAUGGAUGGUGUGGGAGAAAGAGGAGGGUGGCGGACGGCGUAGAUGGUGACGCCCGUGGGACGCGGUCGGAGGUGGUGGUGGGCGGUGCCACCGGAGAAGAUGGGUUGGGUAGGGCUGCUCCGCACCGGAGAAGGCGGGGAGGGAGGUGGCGCGACGUGGGGAGGAAAGUGGGGCGCAGCGUGGGGAGGGAGGUGGGGCGCGGCGUGGGGAGGUGGCUGGCUGGAAGGGGCAGGGAGUUGAUGGAGGUCGUGGAACAAGGAGGAGGGAGUUUCUUUAUUUUGCCCCGUGCAGCUCGUCUCUUCUUUUUGCGGCGUUAGUUUGUAGCUACGGGUCAGCUCGGUACUGUUAGCAGAAUAAGCUUUUUUGUUAGCAGAAUAAGGUCUUAAGGGGUGUUAUCAUAUAUAUAUUUCUGCUAAUAUUAGUAGAAUAACUAUUCUGAUAACACUUCAGCACUGCACGCUCAACGUGUCGGCACUGCACUUUCAGUAACAAAGGUACUGCAAUACAAAGACUAGUGAACUUCCGUCACAAAAAACUGCACGCAGUGUUUUCUCGAUACUAUUUUUGCUCCAAUUUUUUAAUCGUUUCUUGGAAUGGGCGUAUAAUAUACCGUUGGAAAGCUAUGUCUUAGGUAUAAUUUCGACAUGCUGAACACUUUUUGAGAUUUCUAGCGGUUUAAGAACAGUUUCAAAAAUUGUGCGUCUCACGACGAGUGGCGGCAAGCGUUUUUUCGCGUUUUCUUCUAAACCGCUCGUUGGAAUGAAGCAAAUGAUACACCGUUGGAAAGAUAUCAUCGAGGCGCAUCUUUUUCAUAUCUAUUAUUUUUUCUAAUUCGCUACGAUUUAAGAGCAGUUUUAAAUUUAAUAAAUCAUGGAAUUGUGUUUUUUUGAAUUUUUUGCAAUUUUCGGUACUGUUUUAGCUUCUGUUUUUUAAUCGUUUGUCGAAACGAGGCGUAUGAUACGCUGUUGAAAAGCUACGAACGAGGCGCAACUUUCAUAUGUUGGAAUGUUUCGAGAUUCCUUACGGUUUUAAGUUAAUUUUGAAAAUCGUGCGGUGGACGAUGAGUGGCAGCGGCUGUUUUUCGCGAAAUUUUUACGAACAGCUGGUCGAAAUGAUACAAAUCAUACCCCGUUGGAAAGAUAUCGACGAGGCGCAACUUUUUCAUGUAGUACACUCUCACAAAUUCUUCACUGUUUAAAAAAAGUUUUGAAAUUACCGAAAUGCAGGUACUCUGUUUUUCGCGACACCCAACUCGACGAGUGAACUUCAUCAGACAGAAAACCGCACUGCAGCAUAAGGGCAAGUGAACUUCAUGGUUUUUUUUGUCAGACAUAAAUUUUCCAAGACGAGCAAGUGAACCGCAUCAAUACAAAAAAUGAACCGCAACACUUUCGAAAGUGAACCACAUGAGUUACUGUUGAUGUUUUCAUGUAACAAGUUUUUUUGGACUGUAGUGACGAGCCAAGUGCACUGCAUUUUCUAUUUUGUCCUUUUUUGUGUUAACGCAUGGGGACUCCAGAGUAGAGGCAAGUGUACUGCAUUAGUUUCUUUUUCUAACUAUUUUAAUUCUUUCAUUCAAAUGAACCGCUUGAGAACAAUGAAACAAACCUCUAGACAAAAAAAUACAACUAUACUGUAUAGCUGGGCAGUGCAUACUGCAUCGCUGAACUUUUUGAGCUGCAUAAUUUUUGUUCACAAGAGGUGUACAGUACGCAAACCACCAAUGUACCGCGAGCUUCCUGCUCGCAGUUUGUGCUGCAUCCGCACAUGGAGAGAACUGCACCACAACACCCAUUCUCUCGUGGCCAAGAGGGAAGAGGAGCUCGGGGGAGGCAGUCGUGGCCACGUGGAGCAGGGAACUGCACGUCACCCGCCAGAGUGCUGCUUCAUGGGAGGCGGCGAACUGCAACACCCAUUCCACGACGCCAAAGGAAAGACGCCUGCUCGAUGUGCUCUGCGGCAGAUUAGGAGGGAGAGGUGGAUGGGGCCGCUGGAUCUAGCACCGGUGGGUCGAUGGCAGCGGUUUCGGCAGGGGCUCGCAGAUCCGGCAGGGGGUUGGUGAUGCCCGGUGCUCUCGUGUACUGCAAAACAGAUGUUGAGCACUGCAAAAGGGUGAGAGGGAGAGCUAGGCUCCGUGAAUCUAGAGCUCGUCAUCACCGUCUUCAAAGGCGGCUGUCGCGGUGUGUGGUUGGGUGGCCGUCGACACCUCCCUGUAGAUCGACCAAGGAAGGAGAAGGAGGGCGGAUCCAGGGAGCGACGCCUGGCGAGGUUGGUGGCUGGCCAUGUAGGAGGCGAGAUCCGGGGCAUGGUCAGAAGAGUGGGGGGCAGCCAAUCCAGUGAGAUGUGGGGGCGCCGAGCCUGGUUUUGGGGUUGCCGGCCUAUGUGCGGUCCCCCUGUGAGCUGCCUCGAGUGCGUGUGUCGCUGUCGCGGUUGUCGUGGCCGGCUUGCGAGGUAACACCGGCGAGGCCUUGCCACCGCGCGGAGCUGCUCAGGCCGCGGCGGCCGGAGACGGGGAUGCGGCGACGCGCGUUCCGGGGGGAGGUGAGGAGGCGGCGCGUCCUGGGAGAAUGAGGAAUCCGGCACGGCUGUGAUGCCNNNNNNNNNNNNNNNNNNNNNNNNNNNNNNNNNNNNNNNNNNNNNNNNNNNNNNNNNNNNNNNNNNNNNNNNNNNNNNNNNNNNNNNNNNNNNNNNNNNNNNNNNNNNNNNNNNNNNNNNNNNNNNNNNNNNNNNNNNNNNNNNNNNNNNNNNNNNNNNNNNNNNNNNNNNNNNNNNNNNNNNNNNNNNNNNNNNNNNNNNNNNNNNNNNNNNNNNNNNCGGCAACGGCCUGGGGCGGGACGGACGGCGCCGGAGAAGGUGGGGAGGGUGGGGCGGUGGAAGGUGUGUUUCGUUGGAGAGAGAGAGGGGAGCGAGAGGUGGGGGUUUGGAUCGGGGCAGGAGGGAGAUUGGUGACGUGCGGGAGGUGGGGUGGGGAGUGGUUGGUUCUGUUCGGUUCAGGGUGUUAUCAGAAUAAGGUUUUAAACAAUUUACCUAUAUAGGGUGCCCCAAACAAUUUACCUAUAUAUAUAUAUACAUAUAUAUAUAUAUAUAUCCAAGGGUGUUUCCGGGUUUGCGAGGCAGGUGCCACCAAAGUUAUGCAUUCUGUACUUAAAGUAUUAAACAUCCCCAAUAUUCCUACAUAUAUUUGGCCACUUUCAGGUGGUUCUUUACUUCUGGCCCCUCUGAUCGAUCUUCGACGACGCGCCCAACCGUGGGCCCACGCGGUCAAAUUUGUGCAUUGGAAUUUUGAACAUCAUAGACCACCCUUUUCACUCAUAUAUAUUUGAGCCACAUGCUGAUGUGGCUGUCUUCUGACCCGCUCUAACAUUUUUUUGCAGCAAAGACUCUGAUGACGCUCAACGAACACGGGUAUAAUAUCUUAACCGUGUGCGAUACAAGUGCGCUAUGAAUCACCACGCCUACGCAAGCGCGAGCAAAGGUGGAGGUACUGGCUCAACCUUGUGCGAUGCAAGUGCACUGUAAAAUCACUAUGACCGCGCAAGCGCGAGCAAAGGGUGGAGGUACUGGCUUAACCGUGUGUGAUGCAAGUGAGCUGUAAAACCACCACAUGUGCAAGCUAAAGGCGGGUAAGUUUAUAUGAAAAUUAGGACGAAUCAUGUGCGAUAGACCAGCUAGCUAGAAAUAUAAAAACAAACUACCCGCCUUGAGCAUUGCAAAAAUCGGUGGUUCCGCGCUACUUUUCCUUAUUAUCAUACACGCAUAUUGUUAUUGGACCGUGCGCGAUCUUGGUCACUCCCGCCCCGCAUCAAUUCCUUUACCCAAAAUUUAGUAUCCGUCGUACUUCAACCAUCGCCCACACUCCUGCAGCACCGACCUUAUAGUAAAAUUGUAGUAGCCGAGGCAUUUGAACCGUCGCCCUCCCCCGUCCACCACCAUCUCCACCCACCAUUACUAAAAUUUUCAGUAGUCGUGACGUAUCCUCAAACACCCCCCCUCCACAGUCCCCCACCCGCCCCCGCCCCCCUCGAACCCUAGCUCGCGGCCGCCGCCGGUGCCGCCAGCGCCGCCGCCAACCCAUGUCGGUCUGCCCGUUCCUCCUAGCUUAGAUAAUAAAGUUCAGGUUACCCAGCGAUUCCUAUACUGUCGCCCCACUCCCCUGAGUUUUUAGAUGAUGCCUGCGGUGUCCCUCCCCGCUAGAUCCACAUCCCCUGCUCCAGAAUGUCGCAGCCUAAGCUCAACUACGUAUCCCGGGGAGCCCGACGAGCGUUCGGCCAAGAAGAGGUUUAUCAUGGCAUCUCCGGCAGACGUUGGCGAGGUGGCCGCCGUUCGCCCCGACCUGUCGAUCCCGAAGCAACACGUCAUCGCGGAAGCCGGCGAAGACGUUGACUACGUUGCCAUGCCGAAGGCUUCAUGUCAGCGGGCUAGCGUAUUACUGUAUCUCGGGAAAGCUGGCUACGACAUCAAGCUCGUCCACAGCGAAGGCUUCACGCGGGCCAUGUCACAGGUUAAGUGGUCCAUCCCCAACCCCUCUGGUUCAACCGCCAUCGAUCUCUUCAACGGCCCUGCCGCUGGUCUCCUCUGCCAAGCGGUUAAGGAUUUGCGAUCUUUAUACACCAUCGAGCCCAUUUUGUCAUUUCUGAGGGACACGUUCUACGGCGGUGGCUUGGGAUCCUCAAUUGCCAAGUCAGAUCUCAUCGACCACGACCACGAGGAGGGCACCCACGAAGGUUCUUCCAAGGUGAAAUAGCCCAUCUGUGACAUCAGAGAGCGCACCAUGGGUCUGUGCUCUUCCAACUGGAAGGAUCCCGUCCAUGGAAUGUGAGGCAACAUUCUAUCAGCAAAUCUUACCUUUUCUAGCUUGCCAACCCGUACCCUUUGUUGUUGUAGCAUUUACCGUGCGGUGCUUUAACUGUGAAGUGUUUAAUUAUUUCGGUUAUGCAAAAAUGUAUUGUUCAAUAGGGCUAUGUGAUGUUUAAGUAUGAAUUGUCCACUUUAGUUUCACGAAUGGAUAUAUUUGGUUGUUUAUAGUGAGUAGAUGCCUUGUUUAUCUGUAUUUGGUUGUUAGGUUGGUUGGAGUGAGCAUUUUUCCAGUUAUCGAGCAGAUGCCUUGUUUAUAUGUAUUUGGUUCUUAGUUUGGUUGCGGUGAGCAUUUGUGCAGUUAUCAAGCAGAUGCCUUGUUUAUCUGUAUUUGGUUGUUAGGUUGCUUUUUUAGCAUUUGUCCAGUUAUCAAGCAGAUGCCUUGUUUAUCUGUAUAUGCUUGUUAGGUUGGUUGCAGUGAGCAUUUGUCCAGUUUUCAAGCAUAUGCCAUGUUUAUCUGUAUUUGCUUGUUAGGUUGGUUGCAGUGAGACUCUGUCCAGCUUUUAAUGCUAUAUUUGGUUGUUAUACUGGUCAUUUAUGCCUUGUUUAUUUCAGUCAUUCACAUUGUGUUGUUCAUUAUGUGCAAGUCGGAACUGUGCCGCUCGACUACAUCAAUACCAGUUUGAAUGGGUAUAUUUGGUUCCAGUUAUUCCUGGUGUAGCUAACACAUGCCCUUUAUUUCAGUUUUACACAUUUAUCCAGUGUGAUGUUUAAGCAUUACCUACGUUUUAUUCAUUUUUAACAAUACUAGUUUGAAUUGCAUUAUUUGAUGGCUGUUAAGCCUGCUGUCGAUAACAUUGCCUUCCAUUUUAUAUCUGCUUUAACAGGAUGCUGAAACCAACACAUUCAAGCUAUCAUUUGGAGAUGAUGUUGUUUACCUUUGCUAUAUUUGUUUGAUGUUAAGGUUGCUGUACUUAUCAUGCCUUUCCACUACUUAUGCAGGAGAACACCGGGAGUGGCCACCAUUUUCCGCCGAGGUUAGCUUCAUCCCUCGGCUUGUACUCCCCCCGUCAUUCCAUAAUGUAGUGCAUAUAGAUCCAGGCAUGGACACUUGUUAGCUUCUAAUAUUGACUCGUUGCUUGUAGGUACAUAUGCCCUUGGCAAGGAUCCACGCAUCGACCCUUUUUGCGUAUGGGGAAAUGAGAUAUUCAUGAACAAGCAUCAAGUGAGGAAACUGAUAAGGAUUAUUAGCAAAAAGAUAUGAAUAGUGCCAAGCAAAUUAUUUGCUUAUGCUCUAUCCAACAGAACAGUGAGUUGUAGGAUGGUAACUACAAACUCUGCAACCUUCUCUUUUUACUGCCCAUAAUGAGUUGUUAGACAACAAUGUCUGAAUCUUUUUCGUUCGCAGUGGUUCCCGAAGCAGUUCACUCAAGAUUACCUCGCAAAGUACAUGAUUGGUGGACACGCAAUGAAGGUUAAAGUAUUUCAUCCAGACUACAAUGAGCAUCGAGAAGUCGUAAUGAAGACAGUGAAGGAUGGACGGGCAUCCAUCACAAGGGGUUGGCCUAGAGUCAUGCGCGCAUUACGCAUGGAGGAGGGCACAAUAUGGGCAUUCCGCUUCACCUUCUCCAGCAACCAGAAUGUCUUUCGCCUCUCUCUUUAUAGUCUUUAGUACAACUGUGGUUCAUCAUUCUUUACUUGGUGCUUCUGUAGUUCUUCAGUAUAUGUACCUGUGCAUCGAAUUAUGCAUUGGUGGUUGAACCUAUAUUUGUAAUAAACACGGUUGGAUAUGAAAUAAGUGAUUGCCUACUUUCAAAUUCAAAACAUGUGAAUUUUAAAUUAGGGAUUAAUUAGGGAUUACACUGCACACGGUUUGCGAAAGUGAAAUGUCUGCGAUAGACGUGGAGAUCAGAAACGUUUUUAGGAUCCACUACGUGUGUGAUCAACUCCACUACACACACGACAUCCUCUUGAAAACUGUUUGCGUUAGACCACCUUGCGCAAACAUUUACCACAUAAAAAUUGUGUGUGAUGGACAUCCUUUGCCACAUAGUUUCUUCUACGCACCGUGUGUGAUGCAUUACAUAACGCUAACGAUAAAAUUGUUAAUAUCGUGUGCAAUGGCAACGCUAUCACAAACGAUUUAACGGGGAAAAUUGUGUGUGAUGUACCUGUGAACGGAAACGUUUUCCUUGGAGCGACUAUGUGGGAUGUACAUACGAAUGGAAACGUUUAGCGGGGACUGACUGUGUGGGAUGUACUUGCAACCGGAAACAAUUUCGUCCUGUAUAAUUGUAUUUUUUAGCUCUAAUGUAUGUAUUACCGUAUUUGAGCGCUCGCCGGUCGCACACGACCUCAUUUUGUCGAGUGUGUGUGCCAGGAGGGCAUAUCCCUGACGGUUUUUGGGUCGUGUGGGAAGAACCCCCUAUCGCCGUCACUCACUUGGCGACGAUUCCGAACGCCGUCGCGGAAAGGAGUUAAAAACCGUUUGUAUAACAUCGACGCGUACCAGUGCAUGAAGAAAGCAAUAGCAAUAAAACUGAAUGAUCAUUAUGCUAAGCUAACGGAUGGGUCUUGUCCAUCACAUCAUUCUCCUAAUGAUGUGAUCCCGUUAUCGAAUGACAACACAUGUCCAUGGUUAGGAAACCUUAACCAUCUUUGAUCAACGAGCUAGUCUAGUAGAGGCUUACUAGGGACACGGUCUUUGUUUAUGUAUUCACACAUGUAUUUAAGUUUCUGAUCAAUACAAUUCUAGCAUGAAUAAUAAACCUUUAUCAUGAAAAGGAAAUAUAAAAGAAGAACUUUAUUAUUGCCUCUUGGGCAUAUUUCCUUCAAGAGAAACCAAAACAAGCCAUCAUGUUUUCCAAUAAAGACCACUCCACUCUGUCAUAAGCCUUCAUCAUAUCUAACUUAACUGCACAAAGUGGCUUCUUCCUCUUUCUCUUCCUAAUAGCAUGAACACACUCAUAUGCCACUAACACAUUGUCAGUGAUCAACCUCCCUGUUGCAAAUGCACUUUGUUCCUCCAAAAUAAUGAUAGGGAGCACACAUUUUAGCCUGUUAGCAAGAACCUUAGAUGCAAUUUUGUACAACAUGCUACAUAGACUGAUGGGUCUGAAUUGUGAAAGUGACUCCCGGGAUUUUGUUUUUGGGAUGAGAACCAAAAUAGUGUCAUUGAACCCCUCCGGAAUUUCCUUCCCACUUAAACAAUCACGCACCGCCUUGCAAACCUCCUCUUUUAACAAAAGCUAGUGCCUAACGUUUUUUAUGGUAUAAACUAUGUUGUCAUUUUUCUUGUCAGCAUUUGUCGUGUAUAAACUACUCCCUCCGUCCCAUAAUGUAAUACGUUCGGAGGGACUAUCAGUUUUGCUAAAGCAUAUCUAGAUGUGCUCUAAGUAUAGCACAUCUAAGGCAUAUAUCAUUGAUUUUACGCUAAGAUUCGUGUAAGCAUUUUCUUUUGUAUUUUUUCUUUUUAUUUCUAGUUUGAUUGAGUCACUUAGAUGUGCAAUAACUAGGGCACAUCUAGAUGUUCCCUAGACAGACCCAUAAACUAUGCUCCCCCCGUAACACGUCCUUCCUUUUAUAGGAGGGGGUAAAUGCAAAGUAGAGGCAGGUUAAUGCUGCCACGCGGCAACAAAUCCCUUCAUUUUCCCGCGUUUAAGCAUUUAGUACGCAGGGGAAUUGAGGGGUUACCGUUAAUUGGUGUGCAAGGAUCGAGGCGCACGACCCCUCUCGAUAGGACGUGGCCUUGGUAGGCCCCUGACCCACCCCCGCACAUCAUGUUGACCGUCAGGUCAUGCGCGCCACAUGGCCAAGUAGGCCCAUGGAUAAGACCGGUCUAGUCUGUCGGACCUUGACUGGAUAACCUUUACUGUGGAGCUCGGGAGUUCUUCCCGCCAAUUGGCCGGUAGCACGGGAAAGAUUUGCAGUGCGUUGUUUGGUUGUACUCCAACAUUUAAAAAACCGAGGUAGUCUACGUCACCUUGAUAUGUGCUACCUCUUGAGCACUGCGUUGGUUUUCCCUUGAAGAGGAAAGGGUGAUGCAGUAAAGCAACGUAAGUAUUUCCCUCAGUUUUUGAGAACCAAGGUAUCAAUCCAGUAGGAGGCCACGCACGAGUCCCUCGCACCUACACAAACAAAUAAGAUCCUCGCAACCAACGCAAUAAAGGGGUUGUCAAUCCCUUCACGGUCACUUACGAAAGUGAGAUCUGAUAGAUAUGAUAAGAUAAUAUUUUUGGUAUUUUUAUGAUAAAGAUGCAAAGUAAAAUAAAAGGCAAUAAAAAUAGCUAAGUGUUGGAAGAUUAAUAUGAUGGAAAAUAGACCCGGGGGCCAUAGGUUUCACUAGUGGCUUCUCUCGAGAGCAUAAGUAUUACGGUGGGUGAACAAAUUACUGUUGAGCAAUUGACAGAAUUGAGCAUAGUUAUGAGAAUAUCUAGGUAUGAUCAUGUAUAUAGGCAUCACGUCCGCGACAAGUAGACCGACUCCUGCCUGCAUCUACUACUAUUACUCCACACAUCGACCGCUAUCCAGCAUGCAUCUAGAGUAUUAAGUUCAAAAGAACAGAGUAACGCUUUAAGUAAGAUGACAUGAUGUAGAGGGAUAAACUCAUGCAAUAUGAUAUAAACCCCAUCUUGUUAUCCUCAAUGGCAACAAUACAAUACGUGCCUUGCUGCCCCUGCUGUCACUGGGAAAGGACACCGCGGAUUGAAUCCAAAGCUAAGCACUUCUCCCAUUGCAAGAAAGAUCAAUCUAGUAGGCCAAACCAAACUGAUAAUUCGAAGAGACUUGCAAAGAUAACCAAUCAUACAUAAAAGAAUUCAGAGAAGAUUCAAAUAUUAUUCAUAGAUAAGCUUGAUCAUAAACCCACAAUUCAUCGGUCUCAACAAACACACCGCAAAAGAAGAUUACAUCAAAUAGAUCUCCACGAGAAUCAUGGAGAACUUUGUUUGAGAACCAAAGAGAGAGAAGAAGUCAUCUAGCUAAUAACUAUGGACCCGAAGGUCUGAGGUAAACUACUCACACAUCAUCGGAGAGGCUACGGUGUUGAUGUAGAAGCCCUCCGUGAUCAAUGCCCCCUCCGUCGAAGCUCCGGAAAAGGCCCCAAGAUGGGAUCUCACGAUUACAGAAGGUUGCGGCGGUGGAAUUAGGUUUUUGGCUCCAUAUCUGGUAGUUUGGGGGUACGUAGGUAUAUAUAGGAGGAAGAAGUACGUCGGUGGAGCAACGUGGGCCCCACGAGGGUGGAGGGCGCGCCCCCCUACCUCGUGCCCUCCUGAUUGCUUUCUUGACGUAGGGUCCAAGUCCUCCGGAUCACGUUUGUUCCAAAAAUCACGUUCCCGAAGGUUUCAUUCCGUUUGGACUCCGUUUGAUAUUCUUUUUCUGCGAAACUCUGAAAUAGGCAAAAAACAGCAAUUCUGGGCUGGGCCUCCGGUUAAUAGGUUAGUCCCAAAAUAAUAUAAAAGUGUAUAAUAAAGCCCAUUAAACAUCCAAAACAGAAUAUAAUAUAGCAUGGAACAAUAAAAAAUUAUAGAUGUGUUGGAGACGUAUCAAUAUGCAACUCGGCUGGUAGAGGUCGACUGCGUUGAACCAGUUUCAAGACUGGCGACCGAAGAAGACAUGCAGCUCAGAUAGCCCGAGGUACAACCGUGCUUGAAGACCGGUUCAGGGGCUACUGGUGGUGUCCCGACUAAGGGGCAUCUCACCAUGAUGACUCCUGGCCUGGUGGGUUGGUCUGGGGACUCCCUUUAUCGGUUUCGUCCUGGGCCACAUAGGGCGGCCCAUGGCGGAUAACUGAAGAUUCCGGACAACUUGACAUACAAGACAAAAAAUUGGAUUCGUGGAGGUCUCUACCUCCUCAUACGUAGUCGACUAGGAUCCAUUUAACCUAGGGUCCCCUGUAUGCUAUAUAAACCAGGGUACAGACUUCUAGAUAGACAAUUUACAAUCUCUUGGUCCUUUGCACUCCCGAUACACUCCAACGCAAUAAAACACAAGCAGGAGGUAGGGUAUUUAUCUCCCCUGAAGAUCCUAAGCUUGGGUAAAAUCCUCGUCUUUGUUACAAUCGUGCCAACCAGCCCAGCUGAGGACAUUGUAUCAAGGGAUCUGUCGGAUUUAGCUCCAACACCAGGGCGGUGGCGGCCGAGCGGACUGGCCCCAUGAUCAACGAGGAAUAGGAGAGGGUGAUGGCCAAGAUGACCGAUAGCGAGUAAUUUGUUUAGUUUGUGUGCUAUCUUAGUUUAAAUUUGAGGUAAUAUCACUAGUAGUCACUAAACUUGCGUUUAAUGUGCGGUUUAGUGCUAGAUCUUUGAAAAUACUUUUUUUGGUCAUACAACUUGUCAUUUGGUUCAAAUACAGUCACUUUGUUCCAGCGCGUGUGUAUUCAGCAUGCAUGGGUCCACUGUAAGCGACCUGCACUGUUUCAGGGCGACACGCGCACAAAUUUUUUUCCCAAACCCCCCUCAAAUCCUGUUUAUUUGUGGCCGCUGCGUGUCUCUGUCUGUCAGGCGUACAGGCACUGGAGCACAGGAGGGAGAUGAUAGACAUCACAACAAAAGAGGCAGGUGGACAGAACUGAGCUGAAUCCUCUCACUAUCCAAUUGGCUACAAGGUGCCUUGGGUUCGAAUCCCAUGCCACCAUGUUUGUUGGAAGUACUGCAUUUUACAUCUCUAUACUGAUUUUUGGAUGAAACUGUAGCAUAGCUCUGUACUGAAUUUUGGGAUGAAACUGCAGUACAGAUCUAUACUGAAUUUUACAUACAAAAUGCAGUACGGUUUUGUACUGAAUUUAACCAUGAAAUUAUCACAAAGAAUGCAGCUCAGUACUGAAUUUUACAACAGAGAUGCAGUACAGACUUGUACUGAAUUUAACCAUGAACUUUCUGCACACAGUGACCAUCAUCAUGAAUCAGACAUAUGCAUACUGAUUAUUACCAGGCAGAGAGAUAGCUCCAAACAGAAAAUGUAUAAUUUGCAACAAGGAAUCACCCAUAUUUAACAGGGAGAGAUAUAGCAGCUUUGAAUAUAACAUGUCCACUGCAGAAAUUCAGUCACCAUGUUCUGCGCACAAAUUCAGUUAACACUGCAGCAGAUAACAAAUUCAGUUAAUUGCCAAUAAAACAAAUAGUUAUCACUUGCCAAUACAGCACAUAAUGUGCAGAUAACAUUUGAAGUUAACAAAUUCAGUCACAUAAUGUGCAGCAUAUUCAGUUAACUGAAUCUGCAAACAUAUUCAGUGUAUGCAGUCUAACGAAAAUUCAGUAAACAUCUGGAACCCCAACCUUACUGAACAAAUUGAUCAACCACCAUCUUAGCGAAACUGUGCCUAAAAUGAUUGAUCUGUUGUUUUGAUCUUACUUUUGCACACAUAAAGCUUCCUCGUUCUUAACCCCCAGAAAAACCCUAGCUUGAAUUGCCAAACAGGAGAAAUAGAUCCUACAAAUGUAAUGCGUACGGCAAAAAUCGUUUACUCACAAUACGUACGUGAAUGAAUUAAUUGUGAUCGCGCCACCAUACAUGAACCCUACCUUGGCGAUACAAGGCACAGAAAAGAUAGCGGGGAGCAGAGGAGAGAAACGAGACAAAGAGGAGAAGAGACUAACCAUAUGACGGCGCUGCUUCACUCAGACGUCGACGACGCGGGUCGUCCAUCUCCUCCAACGACGGCCGCCUUGACACACCGCCUCCGACGCCUCCGUAUCCGCCUCGGAAUGGUCAGGAGAUGAAGCGGUUAGGAGAGACGCGGCAGCCACAAAUAGACAAGAUUCGAGGGGGGUUGGGCAAAAAAGCCGCGAGCGUGUCGGCAUGAAACAGUGCAGGUCGCUGACAGUGGACCCAUGCAUGCUGAAUACGCAUGUGCUGGAACAGAGUGACUGUAUUUGAACCAAAUGACAAGUUGUAUGACCAAAAAAACGUAUUUUCAAAGAUUUAGAUGUUUAGAGCAGCAGCCAGUAGAACAUUCCCUUCGUGAUUGCGACUUUGCAAGCCAUGACACCAUUGCAGGUUUGGCCACUCUAUUAUUUUAUACUACCUCCGUCCCACAAUAUAAGAUGAUUUUGCAAGCUGUUUUAGCUUGCAAAACAAUCUUAUAUUAUGGGACGGAGGAGUAGAAAAGAAGCAUCAAAGUUGAUCUUUAGCAAAAUUUCCUCUGGUCUUGACAACCUAUUCAGCUGCCUGACCACUUGUGCAUAGCGGCAAUCUGCAUCAUGUGCAUCUGCGAAAUAGUUCUUUUACUAUUGUCAGGAGGUAUUUUCUACAUCACUUUGCUGGUGCUUGAACAAUAAUGAUGAAAAAUUCCAUCUAAAAAAACAAUAAUGAUGAAGCUGAUUCGAUUUCAUCUGAAUCAGUUAGUAAGAAAUCGUUAUAAUCCUGUGUGGUGUUCUUGCUCUGGUGGGAUCUGCAAUGUCCACAACGGGCCAAUUCACUACUGAGGAAAAUUCUUCCAAUAAAGGGAAGAUAAGGAGCCAACCUCAACAAGUCUUCAUAAGAAGUUAAGAAUUACACAAAUCUGCAUCUGACAAGGAGGUACCAUAAUAUCAACACCAAUAUAUCAAACUUUAGCUAACUACAGUACAAAAGAAGAUGAUAUGGCAGCUAUUGGCACCAAAACACUGAAGCACCAGGCCUUACAGAUCAUUUCUAUCUCUUGUGUAAUAUAGACUUUUUUCUAGACUUACGUCGAUACUGUUUUAAUUAUGAAUCAUGUCCUCAGGCAUGCCUCCAGUGUGCAUUGUGCAACAUACCAUUAUACAAUAGGAUGACUUCAUUAUUGCAGAACCACUUGAAAAAAGAUAACUCUAAUCUAAUAACUAAUAUGUAUGAUGAUGCAAUAAAUACUAAAGGCCAUAUCAGAGAGACAUGCAUUGAAAAAGAAAUCAUGAAAAAUUGAACAUAUAACUGGAACAUGCCAAAAACGAAACACUACAACCUGGGAGUUAAAACAAUAAGCCAAAGCAAACUUUAUUUUUGCACCUAGAAAUAUCUCUGUAUAACCAUAUCUUUGAAUCCGUACAGAUAUGUAUGUUUGUAAACAGAGAAGGACAGUAGAUCUUACUCUUCAUUAGUGCAGCUUCGAAUAGCAGAUCUUGUACCAAAAACCUAAAAAUCAAAUAAAAUUUGGCAUUGGUAACCUCACUUCUGCAAUACCUAAAUACUGAAAUUUUGCCUAACAAAAACAAAACAUGCUGGAAGGAAAUACUGAGCAUUUAUAUCAAAAACAAAAAGGCAGGGAACAUAAUCUAAUUUUAGGAAGGAGAGUACCUCGACAAACAUCUGUAGGCCUUUGAUCUUCCAUCUCCAAAGAAUAACAAUAACUCAACUGAUAUGGAAACCAAAUAAAAUCCUAAAAGGUACAAACAACAACAACAACAAAGCCUUUAGUCCCAAACAAGUUGGGGUAGGCUAGAGGUGAAACCCAUAAGAUCUCGCGACCAAAUAAAAUCCUAAAAGGUACACGAGUUUUUUUUUAGAGAGCACUCAAAGAUAAGGAUGUCCUUAUUGGCUGAUCACCAGUAGAAAACUUGUGUGUCUAAUGCUCAUAAUUACAAGGUAUUACAUUUCCAAUAGUAUCUAAUGGUAUCUUAUUGGCUUCAACAGUUUUCUUGAAAGAAUUGAGUGAAAGAAUAAAUCAGAUCCACCAAAUUAAGCGUCUCAAAGUACCUGAAUAUCCUAAACUUCUCUGUUCAGUAACUAUCUUCCUUGUACAACACAGUUGCGUUAACAUUUUCACAAGGACCUUGGGCCAGGCCAUCUAAGCUCCAACUUUGCACAUGACAGUGGCAAUAAUUUAACACAUGAUAAAAGUUCUCCAUAGAUAAAAAAUAUAUUUAGAGGGUGUUUGGUUACAGGGACUUAUUGGUGUAGGGAAAAAAGUCCCUUUAAGUCCCAUCUAAACCAAACAGGAGGGACUUAUAGGGACUUAAAGUGGGCAUUUGGGACUUAUGGAAUAAGACUCUCAAGGAGGGACUUAUAAGGACUUAUAGUUGUAAUAUGGUCUUUUAGUCCAUGUUAAGUCCCAGGAACCAAACAGGUAGGGACUUUUUAGGGACUUGGGACUUAUAAGUUGGGACUAAAAAAAGUCCUAGGACUUACGAACCAAACAGGGCCUUAUAUUAUUGAUUCGACAAAUAUAAAUGGAGUAUGCCUCCAUUGUCAUAGCAUUUGAACACAAUUACAUCAAUCCCGAGUGCAUCAUUCUAAGACUGGGUGUAAUCCAUGUGGGAUUUGGCCAGCUGCAAUAAAUCUGAGGUACAAUUUCUUCCCUGGUGUCGUUUUCCAAAUUUAUAACACCUAUAUCACGUUUACUAUUCUGAUACGAUGAAAUAAAUCCAUCAUCAUCGGUGAAGUAGACACAGUUCGCCUUCAAUUGCGGAUAUUCUUCCACGCUGAGACACUGCGUCUGGCUAUGCCCAAGAAACAACACAUGGCCAUGCAAGCCAUUUAUUUCCACAAGCUUUUUUGCUGCCAUGUCAAUCUUAUAUACAAAUAUUUUGCUGGUUUCCUUUAUGUUCUCCGAAUCAGCAUCACCAGCUACAAUGAGCUGUUCCCUCCAAACUUGCAGCAUAUCGCCCCACGGUGCCUGAACAAUGUAUAUGUGCUCACAAAUAUAAUUCUUCAUGUCACCCAGAACCGUCCUCCUUGUGACAGUAGGACCGGAGAGAUCAAAAGCAUCAAUUGCUCCAGUUCGUGUCACUGCAUACAGUAGACCAUCCUUGUAGAUGCAUUCUUGAUAGUUCCAACCUGGCGGCAGAAAGGUCCACCCACAAUCCCCUGCCCUUGCAAAUGAAAUCUGGUAUUCUGGAAAAUGAAUGAGGACCACAAUGUAGCUUCCUGUUUGCGGAUCAGGAAACAAAUAUGCCUUGAAGUAGAGGUGGUCACGGAGCUCAUUGAGAGCAUAAAUUGACGGCCCGUGACGAAGGAAUUCUGCAAGUGCAGUGUACCGUGGCUUCCAUAACUCAUACUUAUGAACAGAACCUUCAUCGUCAAAGAUCGGCUUGACUUGCUCAAGAGUAAUCACUGACGGGAGAACAAUCUGUUCACCAGUGAUUGGAUUUACAAGGUGCAGCUCGGACCUCUCAUCGGAAGUGAUCAGCCAGCCAUGCGAAGAGCCAAUCAGAUACCUACUGCGGAUCGGUGGAUCAGGGAGGGUUAACUUGUAGGCCCUCUUUUCCGCAAGGCUGUAGAGGCAAGCUGCGUUCUCUCCGGCAGAUUCAGAGGUGUGGUAGAGGAGGCAAGGCGUCUGGCGCUGUUUGUGCUUCAGAAGCUGACUGCGUAGUGCAGUGUACACCGAGCGCCAGGAGGAGCAGACAGAGCCUGCGCGCACGAGGUCAGGGACCUCGAGGAGGGCAAAGAUGCUCGAGAGCAUAUCCGGUGGCAGCUCCGGUUCCGGCUCCGGCGAUUUGCCCACCAUAUUCUCCAUCGGCGGCGGGUCUCCUCUGAAUUUGCCGAGUACACUGGGGAAAAGUCCCAUCAGCUCAGCCAAAGAUCUGAAGAUGAGAGAGCACAAACUAGUCGGAUGUCUAACUAGCUGCCGUAAGCUCUUUAUUACGAUACAGGCCUCCAUCGGGGCUCCGGCGAGACUUAUAGGCAAGAAAGAGAAACCAACCGAGGGCCUGCUCCAGUCGGCGACGGAGAUCCAAAUCCGAAUCCAGACACGGAAUUUCGCUUUGUGCUGGAACUCGGGGCAGUUAAAAUCCGGAAAUGAUUCGAGCUUUGGAUCCGACUCGCGGCCUCCUCCGCGCUACAAGAAUCUGAUGUGUAACAAACCGGCGAGAAGACGAACGACCCGGCGAACGAGCUGGGGGCUCCGUCGGCCGCGGCGACGAAAGGCGCUGCUGGGAUUCAGAGGGUGGUUCCCGGACUGGGGGAUAGGGUACUCUUACUGGAAGUGGAAUAUGGUAAUGGCGGACUGGCGGCAUCCGAGAGGGCAAGAAGCGCGGCGGUGGCUCGAGCCGGUGGAACGUCAGAUUUUUUGAGGAAUUGGAAAACGAACGUUUUUCAAGGGAAAUAGUUGUCACUUUAUUCAAAGUUCAUAGCUUCCUCAGUAGCAAUCUCCAAGCUAACCCAUUUGGAAGAUACAUGGAGCCAAAUUUUACAUAAAGAUCUAAUACAACAUUUUCUAGUUAAGACAAGUGCAACUUUAUUCUUCGAACGUCGCAUCCAAGCAACCCUAAACUCCUGAAAAGAGCUCGGUAAAUCUUUGACCUCCUUAAUUAAUUGUUUAUUAGUUGAGAAAUCCUUUUGCACAUUCUUGAUCUUACUCACCGCUCUCUGAGCAUUUGUUUUAAGGAUCACCUUUUGGACUUGUAGCUCUCGAGCCAGGAUUAGAGUCCUCUAAUACGCCAAUAGCUUGGCCACCUAUGCAUUGUGAGUGGAGGGAAAAAAUGCAUGAUCCUGCCAAGAAUGUGCCAUGGUUGCCCGGAAGAACAACACCCCCUCCUUCCAUACCUUGGUGUUUCGCUAACCACCAUCUGCAUUGACUUUAACCCAGCCAUCUUCUGGCUUCCUCCGGUGCUCAUGCGGUGUAGAUACCCGGUGAUUAGUCACCCUUUGUUGAAUAGGCUUUCAUUCUUCAGCUAGGUGGAGAACCCGGUCGCAUAUGUUAGAUGGAUUCUUAAUCCGGUUGGUCUCCCUUGCAGAAGUACGUGCAGCCCAUAGCUCAUACCAACCUCUAAUUACAAUUUUUCUCUCAUCAUCACAUGCAUUGCUAAGCCACUGUAGAAUCCAUGCACGUAGCUCCUCCGUGUUCUGGAUAUAUUUCGGCAAGACCGGCAAGGGUGCAGCCACUGCAUCGCUCAGCAUACGCCAGAAUUUUGCUGCAUGUGGCCAUCAGAACCUGUGUACGAGGCUCUCCUCUCAGCCACACGCAACACAAAAUACGAUAAAUUUUAUCCGUCGCCGGUGUAGCUCCAUACCAACAGCCAGGCCCUUUCUAAAUAGCCUCUGCGCAUGGAUUUUCAUCUUGUUUGGAUCAUUCGUCGCCCAUAGCUUGAGCCAGCAUUUAUGAUCAAUGUCGGGAUUAGAGCACGAGGGUAGUGUUUCACUAGAUGCCUUAAUUGACACUGCGAGAUAAUACGUUGACCGAACCGAGAACCUUUCGUCCUUUGUAUAAUUCCAUGCUCUGAAGUCUUCUCUUCCCGGUCCACCAACUACGAUCUGAUGCACGUCGAUAGCAUCAUCUUCAGUGAGCACCUGUUGUAGCUUUGCCUGGUCCCAUCCCGUUCCUUGGCUAUUUAGGAGGUGCUCCACUUUUGUUAUUCCAUGCACGAACACAGUGCCCAGUGGCACCAUACUGCUCGUCCUUGGGAUCCAGUGAUCAUGGUACACAUUAAUUUUUGAACCAUGUCCUACACUCCAUAUGAGCCCGUGUGCUAGUAAGUCUCUUCCAUGCAUCAAACUGCGCCAAGUAUACGAACAGCCUUGCGGACACGAUGCCGACAUAAUAUCCAUCUCUGCGAAGUACCUCGCCUUAAGAACUCUAGCACAUAAUGACUCUAGGACAGUGAUAAUGCGCCAAACCUGCUUUGCAAGUAGGGCCUGGUUAAAUAACUCAAAGUCCCUAAAACCCAUGCCGCCCUCUUGCUUCCUAGUGCAUAUUUUAUCCCAGGCUAUCCGAUGGACUUUUUGCUCACCUUCAGCUGCACCCCACCAGAAUUUUGAAGAGGAUUGAUAUGAGGUUCUCGCACAUUUUCUUGGAGAGUAGGAAACAACUCAUUGCAAAUGUAGGGGUUUCUUGCAGCCCCGACUUUACAGGAACCUCUCUAGCAUCUUUAGACAGACAUUGUCCUUUCCAUCCAGUCACCUUAGACCUCGAUGCUUCCCGCACAUGUUUGAAACUACCAUCUUUCGAUCUUCCCACCGUAGUGGGCAGUCUCAAGUAUCGCUCAUUCAGUGCCUCCGAUUGGAUACCAACCACCUCCUUGAGAUCCUCCUUGCUUUCUUCUGUGCACCCCUUCCCAAAGAAGAUGGAUGACUUCUGCAUGUUCACCUUCUGGCUUGAAGUAUCUUCAUACACCUGUAAAAAAAUUGUAGUCGAGUCAUAUUAUUUGUAGAUGCCUCCAGGAAUAUUAUACUAUCGUCGGCAAAGAGAAGAUGGGUCACAUUGGGACCAGUGCGCCCAAAAGACACUCCCAUUAAUUCAUUUUCCUGCUGAGCUUGCUUUAGCGGCGCCAAAAAACCCUCUACACAAAACAGAAAGAAAUAUGGAGAUAGAGGGUCCCCUGGGUGUAGACCCCUAGAGGGGAGAAAACCAUCGGAGGUACCACCAUUGAGCUUAACCGUGAAUCUUGAAGACAUAACACAUCUCAUAAUCAUGGUUGUCUAUGUAUGAGAUAAGCCAAAAUGAGCCAUCAUGUUUUCCAAAAAAGACCACUCCACUCUGUCAUAAGCCUUCAUCAUAUCUAACUUAACCGCACAAAGUGGUUUCUUGCUCUUCCUCUUCCUGAUAGCAUGAACGCACUCAUAUGCCACUAGCACAUUAUCAGCGAUCAAUCUCCCUAUUGCAAACGCACUUUGUUCCUCCGAAAUAAUGAUAGGGAGCACACAUUUUAGCAUGUUAGCAAGAACCUUAGCUGCAAGUUUGCACAACAUGUUACAUAGACUGAUGGGUCUGAAUUGUGAAAGUGAGUCCUAGGAUUUUGUUUGGGAUGAGAACCAAAAUAGUGUCAUUAAGUCCCUCUGGAAUUUCCUUCCCACUUAAAAAAUCACGCACCGCCUUUCAAACCUCCUCUUUUAACAAAAGCCAGUGCCUAACAUUUUUGUGGUAUAAACUAUGUUGUCAUUUUUCUUGUCAGCAUUUGUCGUGUAUAAACUACUCCCUCCGUCCCAUAAUGUAAGACGUUUGGAGGGACUAUCAGUUUUGCUAAAGCAUAUCUAGAUGUGCUCUAAAUAUAGCACAUCUAAGUCCUAUAUCAUUGAUUUUACGCUAAGAUUCGUGCAAGCAUUUUCUUUUGUCUUUUUCUUUUUCUUUCUAGUUUGAUUGAGUCACUUAGAUGUGCAAUAACUAGAUGUGCCCUAGACAGACCCAUAAACUAUGCUUCCCCCUGUAACACAUCAUUCCUUUUAUAGGAGGGGCUAAAUGCGAAGUAGCGGCAGGUUAAUGCCGCCACACGGCAACAAAUCCCUUAAUUUUCCCGUGUUUAAGCAUUUAUUAUGCACGGGAAUUGAGGGGUUGCCGUUAAUUGGUGUGCAAGGAUCGAGGCGCAUGACCCCUCUUGAUGGGACGUGGCCUUGGUAGGUGUCGGUUUCAAAACUGGCGGAUCUCGGGUAGGGUGUCCCAAGCUGUGGAUCUAGGAUCAAUGGGGAACAAGGGACAAUGAACAUGGUGUUUACCCAGGUUCGGGCCCUCUCGAAGAGGUAAAACCCUAUGUCCUGUUUGAUUGUAUUUGAUGUAUGGUAUGGUUACAGAGUAGAUCUACCUUGAGAUCAAGUGAGUUAAACCCUAAGGUGAUGAGGUGAUGGAUGUAGCUCUCCCUCUAAAGACUAGAGCCCCCUGGUUUAUAUAGACACCAGUAGGGUUAGCGUUACAAGUGAUCGGUUACAAAGAAGGGAAGAUCCUGCCUAAUCUUGGCUUGGAGGGCACACCACGACUUCGAAGAUUCCUUGUCCGGUCACGGGUCCGCAAUCUAGCUUGGCCCCAUAGUGGCCCAUUAGUCCGGCCUAUACAUAAUGGGUCAAUAGCCCAGGGACCCCUUAGUCCAGGAUUCCCUCAGUAGCCCUCGAACUACCCUCCAACGUCGGGGAUUGUCAUCUGGCAUGCUCCCAAUCUUCGGCUUGUGAGGUGAGUUCUUCAUCUUUUACCUGAAUUGUUCGGAGAAGGGCUUCGCGGCCGAACACUAUCCGGAUCAACAUCAGAGGUUUUAUCACUCAGUAUAGUCCGUAUCAAAACUGUAUUCGUGCCCAACCGGUUUGACAAUCCAAACGUUUAGGACCACACCAAAACACAGUGAGCCCAUCGGAGUUUAAUGCUUACCUCGGGGCAGGGGUCAACUUUGACCGUCAUGCACCUUUUUAGAAGGCACGUGGCCCAAUGCCACCUUCUGUAAGCCCGUCCUUUCAGUUUGAGGCGAAGCGCCUAUUUAUAGAUCCGAAGGUGCGGGGGAUGGAUAACCCAUCCCCUUCACGAAAAACAGCGCUAAAGAAAUCCUCAGGCACCAUGGCCGACAUUCCUAGUUCAUCCUCGCGCCCUCAUGGCCCUCUCCCUGGUGAUUGGACGAGUUGUUCAGUCUCGCGCCUCCAGCUAAGCAAUCUACAGACGUAGGGCUAUCUUCCCGCGGCAGAUCUCGUUCCCGUCUGUGCUGGAUUAAUCUCUGUUGAUGGCCAAGCACUCGCCGAGAGCUCCCCUGCUCCAAGCAAGGAAGAGAGGGUAUAAUUCGUGCCCUUCCUUCUAAGAGGCCUAGGUUUUCCCAUUCACCCCUUCCUACGGGGCUUGUUGGAGUUUUACGGGAUCCAGUUCCACAACCUCACCCCAGGGUCCAUACUGCACAUAUCUGGCUUCGUGGCCCUCUAGGAAAUAUUCCUGAGCUGCGAACCCCACUUUGAUUUGUGGAGGAAAUACUUCUGCCUCAUCCCUCGUACCUGCGAGGGGUAAAUCGUUGAUGUGGGAGGAGCAGAGGUGUGGCGGAUAGCCGGGACGGGUUACCCCGUUGGGACCCCAUGGAAGGAUCCCGAGGAGUGGACCUCGGAAUGGUUCUAUAUCGAAGACAAUCCGAUCUUCGACCCAGUCCAGAUUGGUCUGUCCGAAUACUCAAGCGGCCCGCUAAAGAAGCGGCUCAACUGGCGGCCCAAGAGCCCUUCCCAGCUAGACAGUGAGGAGGUGCACCUUUUGGCCACCAAGAUUUGGCUGCUGACCCACACGGCAAGCUGACUAUGAUCAAAGUAAUGGUCGUCGCCAUAACCCAGUGCGUACAACCCCUCCAACAGAGGGGGCAUCCUUUAUGGUGCUACAAUGGGACCAGUGAUGCGACCCGCUAUAAGCGACAAGGGCCGGACAAUAAAGCGGCCAUGGUCAAGAUAUUAGCCGACCUCUUUAAAGGAGAGGAGGAAGCUUUGUUCAAUUGAAUAUUUGGGAGGGUUGCUCCGGCUAUAAUCUGGCAGACUAGGUAAGCUUCAAUUCUUUGUCUGUAAUUCAGCCGCAACGUCUGAACAUCUGUUGAUUGUACUUUGUUCGCAUAGAGUUGGAGGUGUCAAGUAGAGUCCAUCCACUGCCCUUCCCCUUAGCCGGAGAAUCAUUCCCAGGACGACAAACCGGGUCAUCGUGACGAUCCGGAAAUGUCGGUUGAUUUUGAAGAUGGGGUCUUUUACCAAGAAAUCCUUGACGGCACCAAAGUUGUAGUGACGGCUGAUCAUACAGGGGCUCUUCCUUCCUCCACUGUAAGUGAAAGGAGGAGCUCCUCCCGACCGGGGUGAUUGCCUCGCACCAUCCCGCAUACUCUAACUUCUACUCCCAAGGGUCGCCGCACUACACAUCGAACAACUGUGGGAGGAGCACAACCUACGCCGGCCUAGGCCCCUGAUGGGACAUUCAAGAGGAAGGCCUCCGUUGGAGCAGAAGAAACCGCUCCCUCGGCUCAAAGGUAACAUGCUUUGGGACAACGAAAAGGGGCGUUUUCAAUAUCUUUCGUCCAACAUUUGCUUAACAUUGCAGAAGAAGACUUCCGGCGCACCAGUCCGAGGACUCCCCGGGUGUGCCGAGGCGUGAUUCCAACCUUGGGCCUGAUACGUCUCCAACGUAUCUAUAAUUUUUUAUUGUUCCAUGCUGUUAUAUUAUCAAUCUUGGAUGUUUUAUAAUCAUUUUAUAGUAAUUUUAUAUCAUUUUUGGUACUAACCUAUUGACAUAGUGCCAAGUGCCAGUUGCUAUUUUCUGCAUGUUUUUUACAUCGCAGGAAAUCAAUACCAAAUGGAGUCCAAAUGCAAUGAAACUUCAUGGAGAAUUUUUUUGGACCAAAAGACACCUAAUGGGCCCUGGCUGUGCCUAGGGGGUGCUUCGAGGAGAGCACAACCUGUCGGUGUCAAAAUCGGCCGAUCUCGGAUAGGGGGUCCCGAACUUUGCGUCUGUGGAUCGAAGGUAACAGGAGACAAAGGGGACACGAUUUUUACCCAGGUUCGGGCCCUCUCGAUGGAGGUAAUACCCUACUUCCUGCUUGAUUGACUUUGAUGAGUAUGGGGGUUACAAGAGUCGAUCUACCUCGAGAUCGUAAUGGCUAAACCCUAGAUGUCUAGCCUAUAUGAUUUGUGAUAGCCUCUACGAACUAAACUCUCCGGUUUAUAUAGACACAGGAGGGGCGUAGGGUUGUACAGAGUCAGUUUACAGAGAAAGGAAAUUAAGCUUGCCAUCCACGCAUAAGAGAGUCCCACCCGAACACGGGGGAAGGUCUUCUACCUUGUAUCUUCACGGCCCAUCAGUCCGGCCCAUAUCAAAUAGCCCGGACACCCGAGGACCCCUUAGUCUAGGACUCCCUCAGUAGCCCCUGAACCAGUCUUCAAUGAUGAUGUGUUCGGCAUGCAGAUUGUCUUUGGAAUUGCAAGGUGGGUUCCUUCUCCGCAUACCAAGCAGUCUUCUGAACAAGAGAACUAUAUCCGGCUAUGUAUAAUAGUGACAACCCUCAACCACAAGGAUACAAUACUUAAUAAGGUAUACCCAACGUUGGCCUCUUUGGUGAAACGUCGCGUCUGGCCUCUUUAUUAUUUUGAGCCAAUUUUUGGCCUCCCGCUUCGUGUUUCAGGAUGCAGCCAGUAUUGACACGUCUUGUCAAAGCAGAGAUCGUGCCCCCUUAUUGCGGGAUUUUCAUCAAUACGGGUUUGGGUAAUCCAACCGUGCCACACGCACGGCCCCUUUGGGAAUAGGCGAGUUUUAAGGCUAGUGGGGCCCUUGAUAUUCACUGCCUAUAUAAGCGGAUAAAGAUCCAUCUUUUUACCCCACGCCUUCUUUCUUCCUCAGUCUUCCCAUCCUCGAGCUCCAGUGCCCAAGCCUCAACCUUUCCCACCGCCCAACUCUCCCAGCCAUGUUUGGAUCUGGUUCACAGGGCAAGUGGGUGGCCUCCUCCGUCACAGAGAAGGACAUUAAGGAGCUCCGGGAGGCGAGGUAUUUGACCGCGGAAAUUGCACACAUGCUCCCGACCAAAGAGCAAAUCAUCCCCACACCAGAGCCCAGCGAGAGGGUUGUAUUCAUCCCUCACUUUCUCCGCGGCCUAGGGUUUCCACUUCACCCUGAUACGUCUCCAACGUAUCUACUUUUUCUCAUGCUUUUCCUCUUGUUUUGGACUCUAAUUUGCAUUAUUUGAAUGAAACUAACCCCGGAUUGACGUUGUUUUCAGCAGAACUACCAUGGUGUUGUUUUUGUGCAGAAAUAAAAGUUCUCGGAAUGGAACGAAACUUCAUGAGGAAUUUUUAUAUAAUAAAUAAGAAUUACUGGAGCCAAGAUCUACUGGAGAGGGGCCCCUCGAUGGGCACAACCCACUAGGGCGCGCCCCCUCUCCUAGCGUGCCCAGGUUGGUUGUACCCACGUGGUGGCCCCGCUGACCCUGAAACCGACGCUAUAAAUUCCUAUUUUUGGAAAAAAUCGGGGAGAAAGAAUUAUCGCGAUCCACGAGACGGAGCCGCCGCCAAGCCCUGUUCUUCCUUGAUAGGGCAGAUCUGGAGUCCGUUUGGGGCUCCGGAGAGGGGGAUCUUCAUUCUUCGUCAUCACCAACCCUUCUCCAUCACCAAUUCCAUGAUGCUCCCCACCGGGAGUGAGUAAUUCCUUCAUAGGCUCGCUGGUCGGUGAGGAGUUGGAUGAGAUUCAUCAUGUAAUCGAGUUAGUUUUGUUAGGGCUUGAACCCUAGUAUCCACUAUGUUCUUAGAUUGAUGUUGCUAUGAAUUUGCUAUGCUUAAUGCUUGUCACUUUGGGCCCGGUGCCAUGAUCUCAGAUCUGAACCGUGUAGCGAUCCGACCUCAGACGGUCAAAUCUCUGUGUAUAAGUGUCAUCCUUGGAUCGGUAAUGCUGACACACACAGUACUUGAAGGAUUUAUAACAGAGUACAAUCACACACUUAUUACAUCGAAUGUCUCAAAAGAGAACUUAUUACAAUAAAUAUGGCUUAAGGCCAUCUAAAUAAGAUAACAACGGAAGUCUUGGAAGAUAAAGUGAGUCCAUCAACUCCAACAACAUAGCUGAGUGCACGACAACGACCUAGCGCACCUUACUCUUCGUCUGAAAAGCCUUGUCGGGUAGUAGGUGCAACAUAUGCCAACGGGUGGCUUAUCAUUGUGGGAGCCAGUAAGACAUCGCCGGUGCCUGGAAAUGGGAUAAGACGAAGACAUGCACGCCGGCGGAUCUUACCCAGGUUCGGGGCUCUCUUGUGGAGAUAACACCCCUAAUCCUGCUCUGCGGGGUCUCCGCAUGAUCACUAGAUCAAUACAAGUAGCUACAAGUGCUCCUUGAGCCGUUUGGCUAGAGGAGGAAGAAAGGCAAGGCUAGCUCUCCUCUUCUCUCUACGUGGUGUGUAAAACUAUCUCAGAGAUCAACCCUUUGCAUGGGUGCCCUGGGGGGAUUAUAUAGGCCUACCCCCCAGGGAUACAAUGGUAAUCUGGCUGGGCGCGGGUCCCAGCCGUCAGUGUCUGUGUUCCCCGGCUUCUCCGCCGGCCAUUGGGGCCCGCCGACUGGUGGGUCCCGCCUGCUGCUGGUUACUGUAGCCUCGCCCCUGAUGAUGAGGGCUUUGCUGAGGUAAGCAUGGCUACAGUACCGCCGUCCGGCGGACUCUCACUGUAGCCUUACCUCGUCUUGUCUUCUUAAUGAUGCACAUACUUCGAGGGAGGGAGGUAGCCGGCUAUUGGGAGCCGGCUAUGCCCCAGGCCGACUAGGGGAGGCCUGGCCGCCUUCGAGCGUCUCUCUGGCUGAAGGGGCCCGCUGCCCGUGGGCCGUACUGGCGCCUAUCGUGGGUGACGUCACGGUCAACAUGGCAACAGUGCCAUGCCGGACGGGGGAUGGCUGACCCGUACGGCGCACUGUGGCCAUGCGUGCUCCGGGAUUCAGGGGUGGCAGGCUGUACUGUGGCCACGCCCCGUCUCAUCACCGUUAUGUGGGUGCAGCCCUUGAGGGUGCAGUCUUGGCCGGCUUCCGGGAGUCGGUCUUCUUGCGGCCGGCUUCUGGGAGUCGGUCAUCUUGUGGCCGGCUUCUGGGAGUCGGUCUUCUUAUGGCUGGCUUCUGGGAGUCGGCCAUCUUAUGGUUAUCUUCGGGAAGGUUUUUGAGGUCGGGUCGCCUUCCGGUAGUCGGCCUGUGAGAUAGCCGACCAGGGGAAGGCGGCCCUAUGUGUUGGAUGCUUGAAGGCCCAAUCGGCCUGAUAAUUUUUCAAAGAGCCAGGGGAGUCGGUUAGGCUACCCGUGGCCAUUUACUCCGACAGUAGUCCCCGAAGCUGGUUGGGCUUCGAGGCUGAGAAGAGGACGAGAAGCUCGGUUAGCUUCCUAUCUUGAAGAGCCAGCAGCUAGGAGCCGGCUUCGGUUGGGCGCGCCGUUUUGGCGAGAUUUUGAAGUCUGAAGCGGGAGUCGGCUGGCGCGCACGCCGGGUUGUGGGCCGGCCGCUCGCCGCCCGCGCGCCACGUGGCAGCCUCUGGCCGAAAAAAGCCUGCCAGCCCACGCGCGCGACGGGACGCCACCGCAGGCCGGGGCCCACCACUCCCACGCCUAGGCCCAGGCGUGGAUUCUCUGUGGCCCAAAGCGGGCCGCUCGCCUUCCGACGGCAAUUUCUGCACGUCGUUAGGGCGCAAUAAUCGCAGGACGUGGGGGAGUGGGCGCAGUUAAUCCCAUGUCCCCCCAUGCCUCGCCUCCUCGGCCUCGCCGCACGAGGCUAUAAGUAGGGGGAGCGGCAGGCGCUCGCACGCUCACCCUCGCUCCGCCAUUUUCUUCCUUUCCUUCUCCGUCGCAACAGCCCUUCGCCGCCGCGCCGUCCCUCUAGUCUUCGCACUACCCCGCAGCUUCGCUGCCGCGGGGCCGUGGUUUCGCUGUCGCCACGCCCUUUCUCGUCAGCUUCUGGCUGUCAUGCAGCACCGUGGAGACUGGGACGGCUCCAACGUCCACGCGGACCACAUCGAAUUCCUCUGCAAGACGCGGCGGCUGCCCGGCGAGGACCAGGUGCGGGUCCGUCUUGCGCCGAAGAAGGAGAUCUCGCCGGCGCCGGAGGAAAGCGAGCGGGUAAUCUUCUGCUCGCACUUCCUGCGCGGCCUUGGCCUGCCCGCGAGCGCCUUCUUCCACUCCUUCCUCGAAUUCUACCAGCUCCAGCCGCACCACCUCACUCCAAACACGAUGGUGCUGCUGGCUGCCUUCGUCACUCUGUGCGAGGGCUUCCUCGGCGUCCUUCCCACCCUCGAGCUCUGGGGGGAAUUCUUCCAAUCCAAGCUCGGCACCCGCAUGUAGGGCGUGCUGGCUCAGAGCGGCGCCUUCAUCGCGGUGCGGAGGCCGGCAGCCGACAACCCCUUCCCUGCCAUCAUGUCGAUCCAGUCGGUGAAGCUUUGGCAGAAAUCGUACUUCUACGUGAAGAACGUCGCCUCGCAAGGCGACUACGUCAAUUUGUCGGCUUACGUAGCCGGCCCACCGGCUGGGAGGCGGCCCCAGUGGUCCUAUCGGGCCAGGACGCUGUCGCCGGCUGGAGCCGCCGCCGUCGCCCGACUCUGGGUAAUGAUCCAGUCAGAGGGCCUGAUUGGGCCCGACUUGCUGGUCGCCUUCAUGGUGCGCCGGGUGCUCCCGCUUCAAGACCGCCCUCAUUUGAUCUGUCAAAUGAGCGGCCAACUCGAUCCGAGUCGGAUGUGCACCAAGGAGAUGCCUCAUGACGAGGUGGCUCACAUGGUGAACUAUCUCGCGAACUGCAAGCUCUCCGCAGAGUGGCAGUUUGGCAAGGAGCCGUACUCCCGUGCCAAUCCCCCGCCUAUGGUAUGCUUUCUUUAUCUUCUCUUCUUUAGUUUUGUCACCAAGUUUUUCUUGGCCGACUCUGACCAGUCGGCUAGUCUUGGCAGAGCCCUCUCCUUCGACCUGCGGCUGGGUCAGCGGGGCGGAUCGCCAAUUUCUCCCCGACCGGGCGGAGCAUGACUUGGAGGACCCCGACUUGGGGGUGGCCGCUAUGGACGAUAACACCGAGGCAGGAGGCGGCAAAGCAGGCGGCUCCGGGCUUGGAGCCAGCUUCGACGACUGGCCGGACGACGACGAGGCGGAAAUCAUCCCGCGCCGCCAGCCGGCGUCCGACCAUGGCGCGGGUUCAUCCGCCGCGCCGCCUGCUCGAGGCGGCGCGCAGAAGCGUCGGGCCACGUAGGGCUUGUUCGGCAGUCGCCCGAAGAAGCCCAAGAGCGGGGCGGUGGCGACCAGGCGGGAUGAGGCGGCCAUGAAGGCGGCCCGCUUCCGCAAGGUGGUGAAGCAGCCGCAAAAGGUUUCGGCAUAAGUGUCGAUUCUCUUGCAUAUUCCUUCUUCUUUUCUUGUCAAUUUCUGAAUCCUUGUCUUGACUUAUCAAACAGGGCUCCGCUCUCUCUUGAGCGGAUCGCUGCCGCCUCCGUGGUUGGAUCGGCGGGAGGAUCCGCAAGCACCCGCCGCGUGGACCCCCGUGUCGAGCUUCAAGCGGCAACGGAGCGGAAAGCGCGGGAGGCGCGGGAGGCGGAGGAGCUGAGGGCGGCCGCUGCCAAGGCGGCGCAGGAGAUGGCGGAGGAGCCAGCGAAGGCACAAGCCGACGCGGCGGCCAAGGCUCAGGCGGAGGCUGCAGCGGCAGCGGCAGCGGCGGGGGCCUUGCUUGUCACCCCCCUGCGCGCCGUGGCGCCCGAGAUCCCGGAGCCCCCGCCGGAGGAAGCCGGCGGCGACAUGCCGGGGAUGGAGAGGGAGGAGGACGACGUCGUCGUCCGGGAGAGGGAGGCGGCACCGCCAUCGCCGACUGGGGCGGACCGAGGCAGCCGGCUUGACGCGCCGCCCGUGCGGCCGGCUGGAGGUGAGCCGGCUGCGAGGACGGACCUGGUGGUCCGGUCGCCAUCACGCCAGCGCGCGGGGAAGGCGACUUCGGCGCCGGACCCGCAGAAGGCCGCGGGCUCUAGCUCGUCGACCCAGGAUCUGGAGGUGGCCAGCGCCAGCUCGGGGUGGACGCCGGGUGGUGGGACGGCCGUGGUGAACGUGGCGGCGCAAGAAGUCCGGAACCGGCUUCAGUCCCAGGCCGCCGUGCUGAGGCAGUACAAUCAAGAGUUCCUCACGACAAGGGCGGCCGUUCGGGUGAGUCUUCCCGCUUUUCUGUUUCUUGAUCUUUAUUUCUUCCGUGGGGGCGCGUCAGUGCACCCACUGGGUGUAGUCCCCGAGUUCCGAGUCGGCUACUGAGCAGGCAGCUUGGAACUUCUUAGUAGACUUUGAUUGCUUAUCUUGCUCUUGUUCGCUUCUCUGUCCGACUUGCAGGACUACCACAACCUCCGCGCGGCUGCCUUCAACUCCCAGGCUCGAGAGCUGACCCAGAAGACCGCUGAUCUAACUGAGAGCCGGAGUAAGUGCUUCAUCUUUUAUCUCAUGUGGGGGCGUGUCAGCGCACCCACUAGGUGUAGUCCCCGAGAUUCGGGCUGACUGCUGAGCAGUCGGGUCGGAUCUUUUCUGGCGACUUCUUUCUUAUAGAUUUUUUCUUCUUUGCCAUAUCUGCAGAGGCCAAUGCCAACCUGAGGGAGCAGCUGGGUGGGACCCAGACCGCCCUUCGCGCCAAGGAAGCCGAGUUCGACGCCUUGGUUCACGAGCGUGACCGCUUGGUCAAGAGGCUGGCCGACCAGGAGGAGAGUCACAAGGCGCCCCUGAAGGCGGUGCAGGAAAGCGAGGCAGCCCUCCAGGCCGAGUACGAGACCGAGGCGGCGAGCUGGGCUGAGGCAAGGCAGUCGCUGAUCAGCGGCUACGGCCAGAUCGAAGACUUGGUUGACGGUAGGCCGCCUUCUUCUUCGUUUCUUGCUUGCCGCUUGCCAUUUGGUCCAUUCUCUGACUUUGUGUUUUUUCUCUUCCUUUCUUUCUUGUGCAGAGUACUUCCCUGGUUACUCUACCGCCGCCAACCAGGUCAUCGAGGCCCACCGCGAGGCACGAAGGCAAGCCGGUGUGGAGAUCGCGCCGAAUGCUCGUCGGUCGCUUGAGGAGCAGCUUCUGGUGAUCCAAGCCUGCCUCCAGCCGGCUCACCGCAUGCUUCGCCAUCUUCAGCGCGUUGGGGCGCAAGUGCUGGCCGCCCUCUAGCCCGGCGAGGCGAUUCCCCGUACCCCCAGUCGUACUGCCAACUGGCUGGAGGUAGCGGUUGGCCGCUUCGAGGCCUGGAAGGCUUCUGCAGCUCGGCCAGGCGCCAGGCGAGCGCUGGAGUUCGUCAAAGCCUGGUAUCCCGAGUUGAGCUUGGACCAGCUGGCCACCUGGCGGCAGGAGGCCGACGAGGAGUUGGAGGCAGUGCGGCCGGAUAUCAUCCAGCGCGCCUCGGCAAUCGCCGACUACACCGACACCAGCGCCUUUGCUCCUGAGGUGGAUGAUAACGGCAUUGCUCAGCCGGAGGAGUGGUUCAGGCUGAACCUGGCGGAUGGUGAGGACUCAGCGGAGGAGAUCGAUUCCAGCGACGAGGGCGAAGAGGAUGAGGGAGAGGAUGGUGAAGACGCCGUGCCAGACGGUGGAGCAGCCGGCCAGCCUCAACUUGAUCGUGCCUCCAGCGACGAGGCACGUGCGAGCGCGCCGCCUGCAGCAGGUGAUGAUCAAGCCGAGACUCGCCAGCCGACCACUCCUCCAGCCGGUACUGCCGUCUCCACCGACUGGCCCGGCUCGCCUGUUGCGCCAUUAGUCUGAUCCGCCGCCUUUGCUUUCCUGUUUAUUGCUCUUUGAACAAUAUUUUGUUAAGUUUGCGCAGUUCCACCCACUUGGGGUGUAUUCAAACUAUGUUGACUGCCGGCCUAUUGAAGGUCUUUUGUGUAAAUAUAAUCAUGCAUGUGUUUGGCUUCCCAUUGUUCUUGCUUUUCAUCCUUUGGUUGUUUCCUUUGCCACCCUCCCUUGGUCGCCGCCUUCCCAGCCGGACAGCUGCUCUGCAGUCUAUGGCUGGAGAAGUGCUUGGCCGGUUGGGAGGGCGAGUACUCUAGCUUUCUUGGAUUGUAGCAAAGUAAAUGGGAAGCCGGCCAGCCGGCUGUUCUGUCAGCCGGUAGGCGUGGUGGGAGGCCGGCUUGUGUUAUAUAGGUUCGUUAGUCCUUAGACGUUUUUUCGUGUGGGCAUCCUUUCCUGCCUUUGGCUCUUGCAAGUCAGACAGUCGGUUCUUCGAGCUGCGACUUUCAAUAAGAGAGGGCUCGGGUGCUGGCACACUACUUGUCUGACUGCAGGUAGAACUUUAAUAUAACUCAGGGCGGCAAGUCCCCGGGCCGACUGGUCGAACCCGGUGCCGGACAGAAAAUCAAAUGUAAUAGUACAUUCAUAGGUAUGACACUCGUCAUUCAUAGAUAAAAGAGGGUAGUCCCCGAGUGCGCCUCGGGGGGGCCGUUGUCUUGUAGUUAAUACAAAAGGUAGCGUGGUACAUACUGCUUUUAACUAUAAAAUCUUCUCAGGAGAUUGGCAUUCCAUGGUCGUUCCGACUCCUUGCCGGAAUCAUUCCUCUUGCGUGCCUUCGGCUUCUGUGCGUCGAUCAGGUAGUAGGAGUCGUUGCCUAGGGCCUUGCUGAUGACGAAUGGGCCUUCCCGAGGGGUCGGGAGCUUGUGCUGGCCGGCUGUUCGCUGGAUCAGCCGGAGCACAAGAUCGCCUUCUUGGAAGGAUCUUAGCUUGACCUUCCGGUUGUGGUAACGGCGCAAACCCUGUUGGUAGAUGGCGGACCGGCUGAAUGCUAACAGCCGGCCCUCUUCCAGCAGGUUGACACAGUCUUCUCGCGCUUCCUUGGCCUCCGCCUCCGUGUACAUGGUGACCCGAGGUGAGUCGAACUCGAUGUCAGUUGGGAUGACAGCCUCGGCACCAUAUACAAGGAAGAAAGGAGUGAAGCCGGUUGACUUGUUCGGGGUAGUACGCAGACUCCAGAGGACAGCCGGUAGCUCAUCGAGCCAGCAUCUUGCCGAACGCUCCAGUGGUACGACCAGUCGGGGCUUGAUGCCGGAGAGGAUGAGGCCGUUUGCUCGCUCGACUUGGCCGUUUGACUGCGGGUGGGCAACGGAUGCUAAGUCCAGUCGGAUGCCCUGUGCUGCGCAGAAACGUGCCAGUGCUCCCUUGGCAAAAUUCGUGCCGUUGUCGGUGAUGAUGCUGUGUGGUAUACCAUACCGGGUGGUGAUAUCUGCGAUGAAUGUCAUGACAGUCGGCCCGUUCAGCUUCUUGAUUGGCUUCGCUUCAAUCCACUUGGUGAAUUUGUCCACAGCGACAAGCAGAUGUGUCAUGCCACCGCGCGCCGUCUUGAAUGGGCCCACCAUGUCCAGCCCCCAGACGGCAAAGGGCCAGGUGAGGGGGAUGGUCUUGAGUGCAGAAGCCGGCAGGUGUUGCUUGGAGCUGAAGACUUGGCACCCUUUGCAGCUUUUGACUAAUUCCUUAGCGUCUUCCAAAGCAGUCGGCCAGAAGAAACCAUGGCGGAAAGCUUUGGCGACAAGUGAUCUUGAGGCCACAUGGUGGCCGCAUUCGCUUUGGUGGAUAUCCUUGAGGAUUGCUAUGCCCUUCUCUGGCUCGACGCAGCGCUGGAAGACUCCAGUGACGCUACGCUUAACAAGUUCUCUGUUUAUUAUUGUGUAUGCUCCGGCUCGGUGUUGAACUUGUCUUGCCGAGAUCUCAUCAGUCGACAACUCUCUGUUUACUAGGAAGUUGAGGAUGGGUUGGGCCCAUGAUGGAGCUGUGACUUCUUCUAUUGUCAAUACAGCUACCGUGACCCGGGUGGGUGGGUUGGGUGGUGAUGAGUUGGAGUCGGCCACCGCCUGUUGUGUCGUCGCAGUCCCCUGGCCGACAGCUGCAGUCCCUGGGCCGGGUUCUGAAGUCCCCGAGCCGGGUGCGACUACGGCAGUCCCCGGGCCGCCUGUUGAAGUCCCCGAGCCGCCUGCUGGGUUCCCCAAGUCGGAUCCGACUGCAUCAGGGGCAGGCGGUACGAAGAUGGAGUCUGAUUCUGGAGACGGCUUGACAGACGGUUUGAGGAGGCGUUGGAGAGAGACGCCGGUUGGUAUAGCUUGUCGGGUGGAGCCGAUCCGUGCCAGGGCAUCUGCUUGCUCGUUGUCGGCCCGUGGCACGUGGAGGAACUCGCAUCCUUCAAAGUAUCCGCUGAUUUGCUGGACGAGGAAUCGAUAGCUCACCAUGUUUGUGUCCUUGGCGUCCCAGUCGCCGGAUGACUGCUGGACUACCAAAUCCGAGUCGCCAUAGCACAGGAUCCGGCGUAUGCCGAGCUCUUUGGCUAGCCGGAGCCCGUGUAUGAGUGCCUCAUACUCAGCCACAUUGUUGGAGGCGGCAAAAUGAAUUUGCAGUGUAUAUCUGAGUUUGUCGCCCUUGGGAGAGGUGAGGACGAUGCCGGCUCCCAAGCCGGUGCGCAUCUUGGAUCCAUCGAAGUGCAUACAAUGGUCUCUUGGAGAUCCAUAUGAUGUAACUCUUUUUGCGGUGUGUUUGUUGGGAUCUGAUGAACUUUGAGUUUAUAAACAUUUAUAUCUUUUUAUUUCCAUGGAAGUAUUUGAGUUUCUUUGAUCUCUUUUAUGCAUGAUCUCUUAUAGCCUCGUAUUUCUUCUCUGAUAUUUGGGUUUUGUUUGGCCAACUUGAUCUAUUUAUCUUGCAAUGGGAAGAGGUGCUUUGUAGUGGGUUCGAUCUUACGGUGCUUGAUCCCAGUGACAGAAGGGGAACCGACACGUAUGCAUCGUUGCUACUAAGGAUAAAACGAUGGGGUCUAUCUCUACAUAGAUAGAUCUUGUCUACGUCAUGUCAUCAUUCUUAUUGCAUUACUCCGUUUCCCCAUGAACUUAAUACACUAGAUGCAAGCUGGAUAGCGGGUUAUGUGUGGAGUAAUAGUAGUAGAUGCAGGCAGGAGUCGGUCUACUAAUCUUGGACGUGAUGCCUAUAUAAUGAUCAUUGCCUGGAUAUCGUCAUGAUUAUUUGAAGUUCUAUCAAUUGCCCAACAGUAAUUUGUUCACCCACCGUUUUCUAUUUUUCUCGAGAGAAGCCACUAGUGAAACCUACGGCCCCCCGGGUCUCUUUCUCAUAUAUUUGCCUUUGCGAUCUACCUUUCCUUUGCAUUUAUUUUCAGAUCCAUUAAACCAAAAAUACAAAAUUACUUUGCUGCACUUUAUUUUAUUUGCGAUCUAUUUAUCCAAUCUAUUACAACUUUCUCCCGUCCACGCACCAAUUUGAGGCGCCGUUACCCGAAAGGGAUUGACAACCCCUUUAACACGUCGGGUUGCGAGUGGUUGUUAUUUGUGUGCAGGGGCUGUUUACGUUGUGUUUCUUGGUUCUCCUACUGGUUCGAUAACCUUGGUUUCAUCACUGAGGGAAAUACCUACCAUCGCUGUGCUGCAUCAUCCCUUCCUCUUUGGGGAAAUAUAGACGUAGUCCUAGCCGACAUCAGGGCCCUUGGCGCAGGCUAUUGACCCUGCCGAACAUACAGUGGCUGGCGCACAUCCAGAGGACCCUGGCGAUGUUUCAGUGACGAGCUCCGAGGUUGAAAGUGUUAUGAAUCACCGCCGCCGGAGAGAAUCCUUGCGCCAUGCUGCCUUUACCGAUCAGGAGUUUAACGCAUUUAAUUCGGUGGACGCGUACCUUGGAGCGGCCCCAACCGGGAUUGAAGGGAUGACCGGUCUCUUUUCUUAAAAAAUGCAGGUGCGAGAUAGCUUAAAAGCAGUUUAUAGUUCUUAACCUAACAGCCCCCACUCCUUAAUUUGGGUGGGACAACCGAGUUAAGGAUCCUUAUAUUGUCUUGAUUUUGCAGGCGGUGAGGGAGCAGAACAGCAAGUUGUCCGAAGACCUCAAGCUGAGCCGAACACAGUUAGCCGGCGCUAAAGCCGAUCUAGAAGCGGCCAAAAAGGCUACCAGCGAAAAUCCUGGUAAGUGAAAAAGCUUUAGAAUGCUACGAACUGUAUGGCGUUUCCUGCAUAUUGAUGCCAUGCUCUCCGCGCAGCCGCUGAAGCGAUGAGUCAAUUGCGAAGGGAACUGGAGGCUGGCAAACGAGUGCUGACACAAAGUCAGGAAGAUAAGAAUGAGCUCAAGGCGGAAAAACACCGAAAAGCCAAGGAAAUUGAGCAAUUGAAGUCUUAGUUGGCUCAGACCUUGUAGGAGAAUCAACAGCUAAAAGGUGGUACAUUCGGCAAGUCACGGAUUCGAUAUCACGCGUAUGUGGGUGAUCACAAUAUGUUGAAACACGUGCUCCCCUGUUUGCUAGGUCUCCUAACAGGGCGGCCCGAAGAGGAGGUGGGUUCCUUUAGUGGGAACCUUUUGAAGGAACUGACCAAGGCGCAUGAACGAGCCCAGAAGGCCAUGAAAAGCAUGGUUAAGGCACUAUGGCUACUGGAAGUGCCACCAGAGAGCAUGGCUGAACUGGCUAGCCACUUUAAAGGGGCGAGGCGGCACUUUGAGUUAUGGAAGCUGUCGGCCUACCGGGAAGGAGUGCGCGAGGCCUGGGCAAUGGUGAAGACCCGAUUUACCAAACUCGAACCCGAACAUAUGGCUCUAGUGGGACCCGUGGGGCCGGAUGGGCAGGAAAUACCGCUUAGCUUAGUAUAUGACCAAGUGAUGCCCGCUGCUUGGUACUCCCAGAAGGAUUGUGCCUUGGACAAUUUGAUAGAUGGUAUUGAGAAAGAGUAUGGUGCGUGAUUCUAUGUAUCCAUGUACUUUACAUCGCGCAAUUCUCAAACUGUGGUAAAAACAUUGUCUUAACCGGCCAUCGGCUUCUGCCUCCCUGAUCAGUGAUCGGGGAGUGUUCCGUACUAUAUGCCCUGAUGAACAGGGGAUAAUUCUGGUAAACAAGCAAUCCGUCCAUUUGGUGCGAACAGACCGCAGCGAGCAAUGUUAUAUUACAUUGUAACGUGAGAAACAUCUUCCGAAGAAAAUAGUUCCUCCAAGGGUUCCUUUCUUCGGGUGAGAUAUGUUGACCAUACACCGUGAUUUCGGAAGCCGGUGACACACGGAUGUUUCGUGGUUUUUAGGAACCAGGAAUAGUUGGAUGUUGGCUAGCGCCUGUUUAUUUUCACUUCCCUGGAGGCCGACCCAUUAUUUUCUGUAAGAACUCUAGCUUUCGGCUUCACCCAUCUGAGGUACAUAUCCGGAUUACCCGGGCGUAGAAAUCGCAGAGGUGCUCCCUUUACUUCCUAGCCAAACAAUCGGAAACGUAGUGGUAAAAGGAGCCAGGCAACCCAACUUGGCAAAGGACUUAAGUCAAAUAGGUGCAUAUAAUGGCUUGAAAGAUAUGGGAAGGAGAUCAAUUCCAACAACAGGACACAAGGUUGCAAGAAGUAUAUUAUAAUUGGCCGCUUUUAUAAGAAGCCCCCAGGUAAAGCUGGGUAGUACAUCCGAAGAUGUGUACAACGGUGACCUGUCGUGUUAUGGUUUAUCCGAACUCUAGGUCGGGGAGGCUAAAGCUCCAAAAAUUAAAACGAAGAGAAAAAGACGAAGACAGAGUGGGGAGUGUUGAUGACGAUGCCGGAUUAGGCGUAAAAACGAUGAUGAAGCCGAGCGGUGUUCCACGGGUUCGGCUCGAGGCGAUUAUCCCAUCGGCUGCAAAGGCGAUAUGCCCCACCAGCGAGUACUUCAUCUUUAAUGAAGGGGCCUUCCCAUUUAGGUGAAAGCUUGUGCUUC